UAGUCCACGCCGUAAACGAUGAUUACUCGCUGUAGGCGAUACACAGUCUGUGGCUAAGCGAAAGUUUUAAGCAUUCCGCCUGGGGAGUACGCCGGCAACGGUAAAACUCAAAGGAAUUGACGGGGGUCCGCACAAGCGGUGGAGCAUAUGGUUUAAUUCGAUGAUACGCGAGGAACCUUACCUAGGCUCGAACGCUAUUUGACCGUCUAUGAAAGUAGAUUUUCCUUCGGGACGGAUAGUGAGGUGCUGCAUGGUUGUCGUCAGCUCGUGCCGUGAGGUGUUGGGUUAAGUCCCGCAACGAGCGCAACCCUUAUCCUUAGUUGCCAGCACAUAAUGGUGGGGACUCUAGGGAGACUGCCGGCGUAAGCCGCGAGGAAGGUGGGGACGACGUCAAAUCAUCAUGGCCUUUAUGCCUAGGGGCUACACACGUGCUACAAUGGUGCAUACAGCGGGUAGCGAAAUCGCGAGGUGGAGCUAAUCUUGUAAAGUGCAUCCCAGUUCGGAUUGGA
RNAcentral lists this ribosomal RNA (509 nucleotides) under uncultured bacterium. RNAcentral's name for it is "bacterial SSU rRNA". It matches the Rfam family "Bacterial small subunit ribosomal RNA", at positions 791 to 1302 of the family's 1533-position model. The record is from RNAcentral.